Molecule: ribosomal RNA, 1207 nt
Filed under: Salmonella enterica subsp. enterica serovar Typhimurium
Lineage: Bacteria; Pseudomonadati; Pseudomonadota; Gammaproteobacteria; Enterobacterales; Enterobacteriaceae
Description: partial 23S ribosomal RNA
Rfam family: Bacterial large subunit ribosomal RNA
Source: RNAcentral
GGACCGAACCGACUAAUGUUGAAAAAUUAGCGGAUGACCUGUGGCUGGGGGUGAAAGGCCAAUCAAACCGGGAGAUAGCUGGUUCUCCCCGAAAGCUAUUUAGGUAGCGCCUCGUGAAUUCAUCUCCGGGGGUAGAGCACUGUUUCGGCUAGGGGGCCAUCCCGGCUUACCAACCCGAUGCAAACUGCGAAUACCGGAGAAUGUUAUCACGGGAGACACACGGCGGGUGCUAACGUCCGUCGUGAAGAGGGAAACAACCCAGACCGCCAGCUAAGGUCCCAAAGUCAUGGUUAAGUGGGAAACGAUGUGGGAAGGCCCAGACAGCCAGGAUGUUGGCUUAGAAGCAGCCAUCAUUUAAAGAAAGCGUAAUAGCUCACUGGUCGAGUCGGCCUGCGCGGAAGAUGUAACGGGGCUAAACCAUGCACCGAAGCUGCGGCAGCGAACGUAUCACCCAAGACAACUUUACGGAGUUGACGAUUGACGGAGCGAAGCGACGUCAAAGCGUUCAUUAAAGUCGAGUUGGCUUAGGGAUACGUUCGUUGGGUAGGGGAGCGUUCUGUAAGCCUGUGAAGGUGUGUCGUGAGGCAUGCUGGAGGUAUCAGAAGUGCGAAUGCUGACAUAAGUAACGAUAAAGCGGGUGAAAAGCCCGCUCGCCGGAAGACCAAGGGUUCCUGUCCAACGUUAAUCGGGGCAGGGUGAGUCGACCCCUAAGGCGAGGCCGAAAGGCGUAGUCGAUGGGAAACGGGUUAAUAUUCCCGUACUUGGUGUUACUGCGAAGGGGGGACGGAGAAGGCUAUGUUGGCCGGGCGACGGUUGUCCCGGUUUAAGCGUGUAGGUGUGUGUUCCAGGUAAAUCCGGUUCACUUUAACACUGAGGCGUGACGACGAGGCACUACGGUGCUGAAGCAACAAAUGCCCUGCUUCCAGGAAAAGCCUCUAAGCAUCAGGUAACAUCAAAUCGUACCCCAAACCGACACAGGUGGUCAGGUAGAGAAUACCAAGGCGCUUGAGAGAACUCGGGUGAAGGAACUAGGCAAAAUGGUGCCGUAACUUCGGGAGAAGGCACGCUGACACGUAGGUGAAGUGAUUUACUCAUGGAGCUGAAGUCAGUCGAAGAUACCAGCUGGCUGCAACUGUUUAUUAAAAACACAGCACUGUGCAAACACGAAAGUGGACGUAUACGGUGUGACGCCUGCCCGGUGCCGGAA